Molecule: ribosomal RNA, 433 nt
Filed under: uncultured bacterium
Lineage: Bacteria
Description: partial 16S ribosomal RNA
Rfam family: Bacterial small subunit ribosomal RNA
Source: RNAcentral
AACGAACGCUGGCGGCAUGCCUAACACAUGCAAGUCGAACGAGACCUUCGGGUCUAGUUGCGCACGGGUGCGUAACGCGUGGGAACCUGCCCUUAGGUUCGGAAUAACUCCCCGAAAGGGGUGCUAAUACCGGAUAAUGUCUUCGGACCAAAGAUUUAUCGCCUUUGGAUGGGCCCGCGUUGGAUUAGCUAGUUGGUAGGGUAAAAGCCUACCAAGGCGACGAUCCAUAGCUGGUCUGAGAGGAUGAUCAGCCACACUGGGACUGAGACACGGCCCAGACUCAUACGGGAGGCAGCAGUGGGGAAUAUUGGACAAUGGGCGAAAGCCUGAUCCAGCAAUGCCGCGUGAGUGAUGAAGGCCUUAGGGUUGUAAAGCUCUUUUACCCGGGAUGAUAAUGACAGUACCGGGAGAAUAAGCUCCGGCUAACUCCGUG